GGAGGUGGGGGAGGUGGGGGACGUAACUCUCGGCAGCUUGCUCAGUUACCUCUCCUGUUGAAGCUGUGCCUUGGGCCUCAGAACGCAAGCCUGGUGGAAUUCUGACCUUCUAGAGGACGUCGUUCCCUCGCUGAGGCUGCCUGCUUAGAGCCGAGAUGUGUCCUUCUCGAGAAUCCUCUGCAAUCAUACUGUGGAAUAGCAUUUGAAGAAUCAUAAUACGUUUGACCUGGAAGAGAAGUGAGAAGUGAUCUAGGACGUGCCAUUCACGCCCAUCAAUGAGGAAACUCUUUCAUAGGAAAAGGAAGUGAUUUGUCCAAGCUCACCUGAGUAUUUAGUGGCAGAGCUGGGACCAGGCUCCACAUUCUUCAGCUCUCGUGAUUUUCCCCUGCACUCCACUGUCAUCAAAUCUUUGCCUGUGAUCUUAGGGAUUUCUGUCCCUUCCCUUGACCACACACCUGGCACCGUGUAAUAGGCCUCUCCUGCAGGGAUAGAUCUGCUUAGAGCUGAUGAGAAUGUUUUGUGAGCAUCUGGCCCCCAAAGAGAGCGAGAGAGAGAGAUGAAACUGAAGAUGCUUACCUCAGCUUAAAUUGACCAAUCAGGAGAAAAACGUGCCAGAGGCUCUAAAGAAUAAGAAACGCUGUCAUCUUGGAGUUAACUUCAGUGAAGCCCAGCUUCAGUCAGCCAAACCCCAGCUGACCUGUGAAUAUCUAUCAUCACUCUGAGAAAUUAAGCAACCAAAAUACAUGAAUCGGUGCUGAAAGUAUGGAAAUAUGAGAUUUGAUGUGCUCUCAAGCUACUGGGGGCAGGGGAAGCAAUAUACAAGCUAACCAACAAGACGAAGUGGCACACCUUUAGUCUGAGAGUGCCCCAGCUUAAUAGAGAGAAUCUUGAGAUCCCAGAGGAGGGUCCAGCCACGAGGUAGAAGGAUUCUCGGUCCCCAAAGAACUGCAUGGAGCAGAGCUCCCCCCACCUAACCCAAAUCACAUUGGAUUGUGAGUUGUCUCUAGAAUACAGACAAGCAGAGAGUUUCGGCUCCCAGAAAGCUCUUCUCUGUUUUCCUUGAUGAUGACUGAUGUUGGAAAUGAGAUGCCUAGACAUGGCAAAGCCACAAAGUGCCUUCUGAAUCACCCAUGGACCCAGCCUUGAAUGCACUGUAAGAUGCUCUAAUUCUUGGAGAGCCUGCCGCCUUUGACAGGGUAUGUUGUAUCUGCGAAGGAGAAGAGAAAGAUUUAUUUCUCCUGAGAAGAUAAAAUAAAGCUUCGUGGAGGAGGAAGUAUUUGUGCUGGGCUGUGAAGAUUUGGUGUGAUUCAGGUGUGUAAAAAAGGCAGAGAUGGAGUGGGAAGGAGAAACAGCCUGAGCAAAGGCGUGGAGGUGUUUAAGUAUUCAGUAUGUACAAGGAAUGACCGAUUAUUAAGUUUGAUGGGAGCAUA
Molecule: long non-coding RNA, 1430 nt
Organism: Ailuropoda melanoleuca (giant panda)
Lineage: Eukaryota; Metazoa; Chordata; Mammalia; Carnivora; Ursidae
Exons: 8
Source: RefSeq, a predicted model, not a curated record